Molecule: unclassified non-coding RNA, 755 nt
Filed under: Hevea brasiliensis (rubber tree)
Lineage: Eukaryota; Viridiplantae; Streptophyta; Magnoliopsida; Malpighiales; Euphorbiaceae
Source: RNAcentral
UUAUUGUAGUCACAUCUGCAACAACUGAACAACACAUGCACUCUUAGUUAUCUAAUCCUCAGAGAAGUUACCACUUGGAAAAAGCCAACUGAAAGGAAUAAUCCAAUGAUUGUUAUAGCUGCAAAUAUUAUUGCUGUUAGUCUUUUACUAAUCCAUUCAAAGGUGGAUUAUCCUCAUUAUUGGGACUAGACCUGGCCUAGGGCUAGUUAGGCCCGUGAACUGGGCUGGACUAGUUCAGGUCAAUGGCCUUAGGCCUUGAGCUGGUUCUGAAUAGGGGUUAGGGGCCAGUUACGGGCCUUUCCCCCUGAAUUGGAACCGGUCUGAUUUAAAAGCAUAUUUUCUUAUUUUUUUCUCUAAAAUUUACAUAGAGUUUAUAUUAAUUUUAAUUUUUUUUUACAUUAGCAAUUAAAUAAAUUAUAUUAAAAAAUUUAUUAGGUUUGAUAAUACCUAGGGCUGAAUCGAAAUUGUUUUGAAACUAUUUCGAACUGAAAUUGGGCCUAACUGUGAGAUUGGCAGAUAAAAUGGUUCCAGCCCGAAAUCAGACUAGAACCAGUCUCUGGCCGGGUCUAUUUGGGACUAUGAUUUUGUAGGAGCUUUUCUUUGAUAUUUGAUUGUUUCCUCGGUACGGUUCUUAAGAAAAAUAUCACAAUUGAUAUAAGCUGGCAUCAGGAAAGAUCACAUGGAUGGUGUAACAUAUAAAUCUCCGAAUUACAAAAACGAAAAUAACUCACUCUUCAGGAAGCUACAAUGUGGGG